GUAGGUGGCAAGCGUUGUCCGGAAUUAUUGGGCGUAAAGCGCGCGCAGGCGGUCCUUUAAGUCUGAUGUGAAAGCCCGCGGCUCAACCGUGGAGGGUCAUUGGAAACUGGGGGACUUGAGUACAGAAGAGGAAAGCGGAAUUCCAAGUGUAGCGGUGAAAUGCGUAGAGAUUUGGAGGAACACCAGUGGCGAAGGCGGCUUUCUGGUCUGUAACUGACGCUGAGGCGCGAAAGCGUGGGGAGCAAACAGGAUUAGAUACCCUGGUAGUCCACGCCGUAAACGAUGAGUGCUAAGUGUUAGGGGUUUCCCGCCCCCUUAGUGCUGCAGCUAACGCAUUAAGCACUCCGCCUGGGGAGUACGGCCGCAAGGCUG
Molecule: ribosomal RNA, 372 nt
Filed under: uncultured organism
Description: partial 16S ribosomal RNA
Rfam family: Bacterial small subunit ribosomal RNA
Source: RNAcentral